UACAUUAGAUACCCGCGUAGUCCCAGCCGUAAACUAUGCGCGUUAGGUGUAUCGGUGACCACGAGUCACCGAGGUGCCGAAGGGAAACCGUGAAACGUGCCGCCUGGGAAGUACGGUCGCAAGGCUGAACUUAAAGGAAUUGCGGGGGAGCACCACAACGGGUGGAGCCUGCGGUUUAAUUGGACUCAACGCCGGGAAGCUCACCGGAUAAGACAGCGGAAUGAUUGCCGGGCUGAAGACUCUGCAUGACUAGCUG
RNAcentral lists this ribosomal RNA (256 nucleotides) under uncultured archaeon. RNAcentral describes it as "partial 16S ribosomal RNA". It matches the Rfam family "Archaeal small subunit ribosomal RNA", at positions 725 to 982 of the family's 1478-position model. The record is from RNAcentral.